This 459-nucleotide ribosomal RNA is filed under the name uncultured bacterium. RNAcentral describes it as "partial 16S ribosomal RNA". It matches the Rfam family "Bacterial small subunit ribosomal RNA", at positions 338 to 795 of the family's 1533-position model. The record is from RNAcentral.
CCUACGGGGGGCAGCAGUGAGGAAUAUUGGUCAAUGGCCGAGACGCUGAACCAGCCACGUCGCGUGAGGGAAGACGGCCCUACGGGUUGUAAACCUCUUUUGUCGGGGAGCAAAGCGAGUCACGUGUGACUCAUUGAGAGUACCCGAAGAAAAAGCAUCGGCUAACUCCGUGCCAGCAGCCGCGGUAAUACGGAGGAUGCGAGCGUUAUCCGGAUUUAUUGGGUUUAAAGGGUGCGCAGGCGGAGGUGCAAGUCAGCGGUCAAAUUGCGGGGCUCAACCCCGUACUGCCGUUGAAACUGCAUGCCUUGAGUGCGCGAGAGGUAUGCGGAAUGCGUGGUGUAGCGGUGAAAUGCAUAGAUAUCACGCAGAACUCCGAUUGCGAAGGCAGAAUACCGGCGCGCAACUGACGCUCAUGCACGAAAGCGUGGGUAUCGAACAGGAUUAGAUACCCGAGUAGUC